RNAcentral lists this small RNA (19 nucleotides) under Arabidopsis thaliana (thale cress). Its description in RNAcentral is "ATSL061140". The record is from RNAcentral. Lineage: Eukaryota; Viridiplantae; Streptophyta; Magnoliopsida; Brassicales; Brassicaceae.
AUAACUCCAAAACUGUAGA